RNAcentral lists this transfer RNA (71 nucleotides) under Bos taurus (domestic cattle). It matches the Rfam family "tRNA". Rfam says of the family: Transfer RNA (tRNA) molecules are approximately 80 nucleotides in length. Their secondary structure includes four short double-helical elements and three loops (D, anti-codon, and T loops). RNAcentral also lists the same sequence under 4 other names. The record is from Rfam by way of RNAcentral. Lineage: Eukaryota; Metazoa; Chordata; Mammalia; Artiodactyla; Bovidae.
UCCUGGUGGCUCAGACAGUGAAGAAUCUGCCUGCAAUGCAGGAGACAUGGGUUCGAUUCCUGUCUCAGGAA